RNAcentral lists this long non-coding RNA (320 nucleotides) under Felis catus (domestic cat). RNAcentral's name for it is "lncRNA (ENSFCAG00000052319.1)". Lineage: Eukaryota; Metazoa; Chordata; Mammalia; Carnivora; Felidae. The record is from RNAcentral.
CCCUAGAGAGAGUUCAUUUAUAUCUUCAGGGAGAUCCAAGCUGAAAGAGGGGCGGGUGAUGAAAAUUUGAAGAUGAGGAACCCAGAAACCCCGGAAGCUGGAGUUUGCAGUUAACAGAAGGUCAAGGCCAGGGUCAGAGUGCAAGGCGCCAGUCACGUUUGAGCUGAAGCUAAGAAGGGGCUUGAGCUCCUGGCAGGCAGCGGAGGCUCGGCCACAGGGCAGGGAGACACAGCAGAGCUGACGACGAGGCCAACAACACGAGGGGAGAGCAUGGCUGGGAGGCGGCCCUGAGCCCAAGCGCGGUUCCCAUCAAGUCACAG